AACUUCUAAUAUCCAGAAUAGCCCGGAAAUAUAAGGUGCGUAAUUCUUAUUGGCUAUAUUUACAGGAACAACAAUCGAAAGUUUUAAUAUGAUUGGAUAAUACAUUCGCCAACUAUUAAAAAUCAGAACAGUAGUUUAGUUCAUAUUUUACAGUUAUUAUUAGUUCUCCUGAAUGCCCGUCUAAAUUGCCAUUUCUUUUAUUGGUCUUGAUAACUGUCAAUUAGUUAUAGCCGUUUUUGCAGGUCAAAUGAACCACUGUGUUAAUCUUAAUCAAUAAUAGCUCGUAGAGAGCAUAAUGGGUGGAGUGUGUAGCUGUUUGACGUAACGAGGCUGGUUUGCGUAGUAGUACGGCGGCUGUGUGAGAUAAAAAAAAUCUUAGGGAAGCAGAAUAGAGUACCAGAAAACGGCGUUUUAGUAUUGCGAUUUUUUUGAGACCAUCCUUUAUACUUUCCAGUUUUGGAUUUAUGUUUUCAAGUCACUGUUGAUCUCUAUAGAUAUGAGGCACCAUUUAGCAAGAUAAGUGUCUGAAGAAUGGCUCAGUUUCCAGCACCUUUUGUUGGGGGCCUGGAUAUCUGGGCCAUAACACCAGAAGAGCAAGCAAAGUAUGACCAGCAGUUUGUAAGCUUAAAGCCUGUAGGUGGAUUCAUCACUGGUAAGAUAC
Long non-coding RNA from Protopterus annectens (West African lungfish), 661 nucleotides. RefSeq lists it as uncharacterized. The record is from RefSeq and is a predicted model, not a curated record. The transcript has 3 exons. NCBI's taxonomy places the organism in Eukaryota, Metazoa, Chordata, Ceratodontiformes, Protopteridae.